UUGCGAGAGGGAUGUUUCUCCAUGUACCUUGAUGCACUAACAGAACUAGUCAAGUGGUUUCAUGCAAUGGAUCAUACCCAUUAUGCAAGAUGGAUUCCAGUUCACCUGAGGGACAUGGCUGAACUACCAAGGACACACCCGAGCGUAGCUCAAGCAUUCAGGGAAGGCAAGUUCACUGUCCAGAAGACCAAUAAUGUGUUUUCCUCCAUGGCCAUCGACCAGGCUCAUGAGCAGAUGAAUGCUUGCAUCAAAGGAGAUGGUGGGGCUGUGGGCCUCACUGAUAACCCAUCUGCACUAUUGCGAUGGAUGGUAGCAGGACCAGAAGUAGCCCGAUCCAUACAGGAAUUUGAGAUUAGUUAAAAAAAAAUCAGAUAACACACUUCACCAUGAUCAAACAACAAGUGCCCAGAUCUCAUUCAUCAAAGAUGUACGGUCUUUGGUCAGGGUUAAGAGGGAUGGCCUGUGAGCGGCUGGAAACAGUGAUGACCAACCAGAAAAACCAGUCUUCUUUUAUCUUUUUUAUUCUUAAAUACAAAAGGGAGCCCAGUACUCAAAACCAGUUCCAAGAAGUAGCUCAGCCUCCACCAGCAGCCGCACCCAAAUGAGCCAGCUGGCAUCACUUUUGUCCUCUGUUCCUGAUUGGACUGAACCACUUCCUCCAUUGCAGGUGUUUCUCCCCUAUCAUAGAUACAAACAUUUUAAAAACUACCUUUAAACUUCACAUACACACACCUAAAAAACCCCUGUCUUUAAACAAAUGCUAAAACACUUUUCAACACUUAAACCUCAAGCUACCAAUACCCCCCCCCCCCCCCCACCCCCAUCUAAUGGACUCUCCCAGAGCCUUUAAGUGACAUCCAGGCUUGUAAGAAAAGUUUUGCCUGAACACCCUGGAGAGGGCACCAGAUAGGUGAGUCAAGAGGCCUUUUGAAUCAACUUCAUCCUACUCAUUUACCCCCAUCUGACACUGAAGUCUCUCAAUAUUCUCUUUCACAGGAUCUGAAAGACAAAACCACAUAUAUUACUAAAUACUCCAAUUCCCAAUAAAGAAUCAUUUG
Thalassophryne amazonica is the source of this 1058-nucleotide long non-coding RNA. RefSeq lists it as uncharacterized. The record is from RefSeq and is a predicted model, not a curated record. Lineage: Eukaryota; Metazoa; Chordata; Actinopteri; Batrachoidiformes; Batrachoididae. The transcript has 3 exons.